ACAAUCCGCCAUGUUUUGGGUGCCUUGCCUCGCGUUCGCGGGGCGGGUGAAACGGGAAGCCGGUGACUCUGUGCAAGCAGACAUUCCGGCGCAGCCCCCGCUGCUGUAAGCCUGACGACUCCACCCCACGCCACUGUGCAUUGCAUGGGAAGGUUGGUGGAGAAGAACGAAGGCGAGCCAGAAGACCGGCCCAAAUCAACGAAGUACC
Molecule: non-coding RNA, 208 nt
Filed under: Dechloromonas aromatica (nom. nud.)
Lineage: Bacteria; Pseudomonadati; Pseudomonadota; Betaproteobacteria; Rhodocyclales; Azonexaceae
Source: RNAcentral